AACGAACGCUGGCGGCAUGCCUAACACAUGCAAGUCGAACGAGACCUUCGGGUCUUUUGGCGCACGGGUGCGUAACGCGUGGGAACCUGCCCUUAUGUUCGGAAUAACUCCCCGAAUGGGGUGCUAAUACCGGAUAAUUUCUUCGGACCAAAGAUUUAUCGCCUUUGGUUGUGCCCUCGUUGGAUUAGCUAGUUGUUAGGGUAAAAGCCUACCAAGCCGACGAUCCAUAGCUGGUCUGAGAGGAUGAUCAGCCACACUGGGACUGAGACACGGCCCAGACUCGUACGAGAGGGAGCAGAGGGGAAAAUAGGAAAAUGGGCGAAAGCAUGAAGCAGCAAGGCCGCGAGAAUGAUGAAGGGCUUAGGGAUGUAAAGCACUUUUACCCGGGAUGAUAAUGACAGAACCGGGAGAAUAAGCACCGGCUAACUCCGU
Molecule: ribosomal RNA, 432 nt
Filed under: uncultured bacterium
Lineage: Bacteria
Description: partial 16S ribosomal RNA
Rfam family: Bacterial small subunit ribosomal RNA
Source: RNAcentral